This 96-nucleotide non-coding RNA is filed under the name Porphyridium aerugineum. The record is from RNAcentral. Lineage: Eukaryota; Rhodophyta; Bangiophyceae; Porphyridiales; Porphyridiaceae.
CCCCGCAAUGCCUUGUUCCGUCAAUACCAGACGCUGCUUGCGAUGAACGGGGCCACUUUGAAGAUUUCAGACCCGGCAUUGAGAUGGAUUGGAAUC